Molecule: ribosomal RNA, 283 nt
Filed under: uncultured bacterium
Lineage: Bacteria
Description: partial 16S ribosomal RNA
Rfam family: Bacterial small subunit ribosomal RNA
Source: RNAcentral
CGGACCUUGCGACUAAAUGAUGAGCCUAAGUCGGAUUAGCUAGUUGGUGGGGUAAAGGCCUACCAAGGCGACGAUCUGUAGCGGGUCUGAGAGGAUGAUCAGCCACACUGGGACUGAGACACGGCCCAGACUCCUACGGGAGGCAGCAGUGGGGAAUAUUGGACAAUGGGCGAAAGCCUGAUCCAGCAAUGCCGCGUGAGUGAUGAAGGCCUUAGGGUUGUAAAGCUCUUUACCCGGGAUGAUAAUGACAGUACCGGGAGAAUAAGCUCCGGCUAACUCCGUG